Molecule: long non-coding RNA, 3865 nt
Organism: Bactrocera oleae (olive fruit fly)
Lineage: Eukaryota; Metazoa; Arthropoda; Insecta; Diptera; Tephritidae
Source: RefSeq, a predicted model, not a curated record
GUGAACACCUUGAAAUUUUGUUUUGAAUUAUAUUUCAAAUGCAUUGUGGCAGCUGCGUAGCAGGUGGUCUAAUUUGCUGUUUAGACAUUAAUUUUCUUGUGUUCAAAUGAGUGAUGGGCUCUGCUUUUUAAAACGUUGUAUGCUUUUUUAUAAAAUUUUUGUGAAUAGAAAUUUUACUUACACAAAUUAAGCUAAAAAAAAACUAAUUUCAAUCUGUUAAUUUGCGUAAGUAGAGUGCGCCAACCCUAAACUGAUAUGUAUUGUGAACAGAGCUUAAAUAUUUACAUAGUGGUGCGUUCAUUUUAUAACAUAAUUAUAAUGUAGUAAUUUUAUAUUUCAUUGCCAAGUGUCAAAGUGCUUGUAGAAAAUCAGCAAGCCAUUGCGAGCACUGCUGAAAUUAAAGGCGGCUAUUAAACACAUUUAAAGCUUCACGGAAAUCGAAAGAAACACGAGCAAGACAAUUUUCAAAUUUUAAACACUUUUGCGAAACGCGAACCGCAAACUGUAACCGCCGCGAAAGAACACAAACUGAAAGCAACUAAUUUUGGCAGUUACGCUAUGACCAACGAAACAUUUAACAAACGCUGCCGCGAGCAAAAAACAAUGGAGAAUAUAAACAAAAAAAUGACACGAAUCGUAGCAACAAAAAUUAAAAAGUAAUAAUACAACAACUCUGGAAACUAGUAAAAUGAAAAUAAACUUUUACACAAAACAUUAAAAAUACUGAGCGCAAUCGGCGAAAGACAAGUGGCGGCGCACGAAGAUGAAUAGCAAGCAUUAACAAAUAAAUAAAGCAACAAAGCAAUAUAACUGGAAGCGGUGAAUUAAUGAAAAAAUCGCAACGAAUUAUAAAAUGAAAAAAACAAAAAAAAAAUAAAUAAAAAUAGUAGCGUUGGGUGCAGGGAGUAGAAUAAACCAGCGUGUAGUGUAAAAAGUAAAAAAAAUUAAAUUUAACGGCAAAAUAAAAGCUUUUCGCACACAAAGUAAGCCACGCACAGAAAAAAAACAAGAAAUCAAGAAAACUUGAUGUACAAGCAAAAAAAAAGUGUAAUUAACGAUUUGUUUGGCACCAUGUUGCAAAAAAUAUGAACUACAAGCUUGCAAAAAACAAAAAGAAAAAUAUAACAAAUAAAAUCGUAUAUGUUAACAAAUUCAAAAUUAAUGCUUAAGCCGGCAUAAUGGCGGCGACAACGUGACUGGCACCGGCGUGCGUUUAUUGCGCGAGUUCAAUAAACCGUUACAAAGCAAUUUAUUUUGCUUGCAUACAAGCAAACAUAGUAUGCAGUGUAUGAUUUAAUAAUUAACUCGGUCUGCACAGCGUAAGAUCAGCACAAAUUGCAUGUUUUAUGAUAAGCCUAACCUAAACACCUACCCAAUUAACCAAAAGUCACACAAUGUAUGUAUGAGCAUAAUAAAUAUUGAGGAAAGUUUCAAGCGCGCAUUAACAUUACCAUUAAUGGACAGCCCUAAUGUGUUUUUACUAAAGAAAAGAUAUUCUAGUCUUGAAAUAAAAAAAAAACGAUUUUUGUUUUAUUUACAAAGUUUAACUGUUCAAAAAUAUGUCUAACAAACAAGCGGAUUUUUUAAAUUCAAUUAACAAUCAUCACUUACUGUAAAUCUACAUUAUUUAUUAAAUAAAAUGUCUCUUGAAAAUAUUACAAUAAAUACAUUUUUUUUGGAUUGCAGUGUAUAUAAUCACUUAAAUUAUGCUAAUCAUAUAUUUUUGCCACUCGUUCAGUGAUGUCUUACCAAGCAACUUGAUUUCCUUUAUUUUCACAACUUUUUGCGUUCAUUAAUUCAUGCCGUGAAUUUGUUCUGCUAUUUAAACAAGUUGAUUCACGCUUAGUUUGCGCUUUUAAACCAUUUAAACGCAAGAAGCAAUAAUCGAUUUUGCUAAUUAUUUGAAAACUUAAGCAACUUACGAGGCGAUACCCUUACGAUAAUGCUUACAGUAAUACUUUAAUACAAUCACAAAGGAAUAUAUAAUUAUGCGAAUUCAGUAUUUUAUGCGGCCAAGCAGAAAUUUAUAAUUUGUUACACGUUUUUCUUGGCUAACUACGCAUUUACCAACACAGCUUAAUUUCUGUAAGAAUUUACGCUUACAAAGCGUUUGUUUCCACUCCAAUACCAUUGGAUGCCGCGUGCUACAUGUGGCGACCUCAAUUCGUAACAAGAAAAGAGCAAACGCGGCUGUUUUGAUGUGGAAUCGCUGGUUUUACACGAUAGUGGAGCGCAGAAAAGGACGGCAUAAAUACAAUACAAUAGGUAGCAUCCGUAUGUAUGUAUGCCAGCAUCAAAUAAUUGAACCAAAUCAAAUUAAUCAAUGGAACUAAUUUUAUUUUAUGCUCGCAGCACUUUGCGCUAACAUUUUAUUGUAACUUCAUUUCAUUUAUAGUUGAUACUUUCAAUGUAUUUCCUUUUUUAAUGACAGUUAACAGUUUGACUUAAUAGAUUUGAGCUCGCCUUUGUUUACAAACAAAACAGCAAAGAGAGAUAGUGGACAGUUUGAGAGCGUUUGGACAUACAUUGUGUUUUAUCGACUGUAAUGUUGACUGCUUUUUCAUUUUUAAAGGAAAAUUGUUUAUUGCUAAAGAUGUUUUGUUAUCAUAAUAAACUAGUAAAAUUAUUAUUUUAUUUUAUUAAAAAAAAAUUAAAUAGAAAGUAGAGCGUAAGCAGUAUAAAAAAAUUUUCAAACACAAGUGUAGCUCAAACAGCUGGCACACCAUAAAUUUCAGAGCUACAUGCAGGUAUUGACAAAGCAAUAUCAAAAGUGGUUACGCGUGCCUUGGAAUCGUGCGUGCUCAUAAGAGUCUUGCAAGCAGAAGGAAAUACGAAUGGAUUGGAGUGAAGGUGAAUAAAAAAUGUAAAGGUAAAUUUGUGCCUGCGGCAAGUAACCGCAAUAAUGAUCAAUGGCAUUGACUUCGGAAGAUAUAAAUGUAUAUAAUAUAUACCAACAAGAGUGUGGGCAAAGAGUGCUGCGCGAGGAAACGGAAUAUCAGCAGGAAGCAUAUGAAAAUAUUCGCAACUGCACACUGGCAUAAAAAUGAGUUCAUUGCAUAUUUUAUGUGUGUGGCAGCUGUGAGGUGAAGAAGUACAAAUAACAUAUAAGCAAUAUUUACAUAUUAAGUUUACAUAAAAAUAAUAUAAUUUGAAGUCAGCAAAUAAAUUAUAAUUUUUUAGUUAGAAAAGUUAAAUAAUCAUAUGAAAGAGAAGAAGUAAACAAAGCUUCAAUUUGUUCAUUUAUGUAUUUGCAAAUUUGUGCACGGAAAUGGAAAAGGCAUGUCAGGAAUCACUAGAGACCAGCAGUUGACAACAGCGUUUAAAAAGGAAAACAAUAUGUAAUUACCAUACUUUUUUAAGGUGAUACGCAAGACGUGUUUAAAACAAAUGAAUACAAGAAAAAAAGCACCGAAGCUACAAGCACUUGAUUUGGAUCGAUAUGUUUGAAUGGCAGCUAACAAGGUCUAAAUUUUUGCCGAACAAUUUGUAAGGCAGCUAUAUGCUGUAAUGGACUUAACUGAAUAAUUCAUUUGGAUAUGGCAGCCUUGCCUUGUACAAUAAUCCUUGCCGAAUAGCGACGUGAAGAUAAUUUGUCAAAUAAAAAAGUUUUUCAUACAAAAACUUGAUUUUUAAACGUCACUUUAUAUGACAGCUAUAUGCUAUGAUGGACCAAUAUUGGCGAUUUCAGAUGAGCAGCUGGAAAGAAGAACGUGUGACAAACUUAAUAUACCCUAUUCAGGGUAUAAUUACUGUCGUAAACGCCCACCAAAAAGUUGUGUAAAUAAAGGCGGUUGUCAGUUUGACGUCAAAAAUGAUUCCUUCCAUAGACUUGCAUUUGUUUUUGUUUUAAUAAACAUCACUGCUU